RNAcentral lists this transfer RNA (76 nucleotides) under Succinivibrionaceae bacterium. Its description in RNAcentral is "tRNA-Gly". It matches the Rfam family "tRNA". From Rfam's summary of the family: Transfer RNA (tRNA) molecules are approximately 80 nucleotides in length. RNAcentral also lists the same sequence under 1 other name. The record is from RNAcentral. Lineage: Bacteria; Pseudomonadati; Pseudomonadota; Gammaproteobacteria; Aeromonadales; Succinivibrionaceae.
GCGGGAAUAGCUCAGUUGGUAGAGCAUAACCUUGCCAAGGUUACUGUCGCGAGUUCGAUCCUCGUUUCCCGCUCCA